CAGAUGAGCCUUUACUGCCAACAGCACCUGCACUCCGAGGAGUUUAUUGCAGCCAAAAUCCAGGCUAAAGCGCAGCUCUGAUAAAUACAGCAGAUUUCAUGGAGAAACAACAACAACAGGCCACAGACUGUUAAUGAGAGGUCCAGAUCCAAGCACAGACACACAGAGCUCAGUAGCAGAAUGGUCAACAUACAUCAUUCUCUGUGGUGUAAUGGCUUCUUACUCCCGAGGGGACGCCACAGCGGAUGAUCCACAUGUCUAAUUUUGGCUGGGAUUUGUGCCCUUCAUGAUGCCACCCUCCCAUUUAUCAGGGCUUGGGACCAGCACUAGAAGUACACCUGUGGCUGAGUGUCCAGUUAACAAUGAGCAAUUGGGAUUGGCUAUCUUG
This is a long non-coding RNA of Solea senegalensis (Senegalese sole), 388 nucleotides long. RefSeq lists it as uncharacterized. The record is from RefSeq and is a predicted model, not a curated record. NCBI's taxonomy places the organism in Eukaryota, Metazoa, Chordata, Actinopteri, Pleuronectiformes, Soleidae. The transcript has 3 exons.